AAAAAUUGGAUGGACCCUGGGCUCAUUGCGUCCACCAUGAGCUCCCUCCCUGGAUGAAGGACGCGUGGAGACGCGCUGCAUCAGACGGUCCUGGAAUCGAGCGUGGCCGUCCGUGGAGUUAGCGGCUCGUUCAGCAUCGAGGACGUCCCGGCUUGGCUUCUCUUUCCGUCGGCUUGGCUUCUCUUUCCAUCGGGGAGUCAGACCGUCAAACUCGUUCGUUUCAUCUUCCCUGAGUUUGCCGCCGCCAGUAGCCCUAGACCAAUUGCACGCCUCCACUGCUGCUUCCAUGGAUGAACCAGCCCAAUUGCACUCCUCCAUUGUUGCUUCCAUGGAUGAACCAGUGGCCUGCAUGGAAGACAUUAGAGGCCAAGAAGAUGGAAUGACAACUGUUGAUCGGAUGACAUUUUCUUCUCUCUUGGAGGAUUCACGUGCACUAGAAUUUGAUGCCGUUGGUGAUGGUGGUCGAGAAGACGAACAGAUAACACAGGUUAGUUAUCUGCUUAGAUCGUUCUGCAUUUUUUUUUGACAAAUGUUUUUUCUUCUAUGUUGUUUGGUAUCUGAGAUAUAUUGCCCAUAUUUGACAGAACAACAUGGUUACCAGGGGAGUAGAGAACAUCGGCACCAUUUUACAGACGUCUGGAUCCAUAGAGAAUGAAG
RNAcentral lists this long non-coding RNA (657 nucleotides) under Setaria italica (foxtail millet). RNAcentral describes it as "long non-coding RNA (SITA_LNC005332)". The record is from RNAcentral. Lineage: Eukaryota; Viridiplantae; Streptophyta; Magnoliopsida; Poales; Poaceae.